Molecule: long non-coding RNA, 763 nt
Organism: Musa acuminata AAA Group (dessert banana)
Lineage: Eukaryota; Viridiplantae; Streptophyta; Magnoliopsida; Zingiberales; Musaceae
Exons: 2
Source: RefSeq, a predicted model, not a curated record
AAAAAUGGAAAAGAAGAGAGUCCCUUUUUCUUUGUUACAAACAGUGAAGUGGGAGAUGGAUUGGGGACGGGCGUGUUUGCAGGCCGGGGUGACUAGCAAACAUGGAACCACAUCCCGCCCUACCUUAUCGUGGCUCCUCGUUGUUGUGGCCACCGUUCCCUGCCAAUAAACCCAAUUCGAUUCAUCUCCUCCCUUCUUCCUGUGGAUUCGUCGACGCUACUUCUCCUAUCCUCCACCUCCGCCGAUCGUCCAUUUGUGCUCCUCCUACGAAACCAUCGCGAUUGAGCUACUUCUCCCGCCGAACCGCUAGGGCCAGCCCUCCUCCUCCUCCUCCUUCGGAGGAUCCAAAUACAAUCGCCGGCAUACAAGCAACGCUGUCAAGGAUCCAGGAUAGGCUGCGAAUCUUCUUUGCUGUGCUUUUCUGGAUGUCAUUGUUCUUCUGGGGCAGCGCAUGGGAUGGGAGAAAUGAUGCUAGAAAGAAGAAGGGACCAUGGUUCAGAAAAUGAAUUUUCAAUGAUCCUUUUAUCCGAUUCGUGUGACUAGCAAAAUGACUGAAAAGCUUCUUUUCUCAUGCAGCAUAAACAAAUUCACUGAUGUUUAUAUGUGCCUGUACCGGUGUGUGAAUUGGUUUUGUAAUCUAGACAAUAUCUGUAUCAACAGGCUAAGUGGUCAUCAAUUUGCUUGUAUUCUAGGAAAAGCUUUAUUCUUAGUUGUAAAUUUGUUUUCUUCACAAUGCUAUGAUCAAGUUGUUUACUCUUUUCCA